UACGUAGGGGGCUAGCGUUGUCCGGAAUCAUUGGGCGUAAAGAGCGUGUAGGCGGUUUGUCGCGUCUGCUGUGAAAACUCGGGGCUUAACUCCGGGCCUGCAGUGGGUACGGGCAGACUAGAGUGCGGUAGGGGAGACUGGAAUUCCUGGUGUAGCGGUGAAAUGCGCAGAUAUCAGGAGGAACACCGGUGGCGAAGGCGGGUCUCUGGGCCGUAACUGACGCUGAGGAGCGAAAGCGUGGGGAGCGAACAGG
This 253-nucleotide ribosomal RNA is filed under the name uncultured bacterium. Its description in RNAcentral is "partial 16S ribosomal RNA". It matches the Rfam family "Bacterial small subunit ribosomal RNA", at positions 524 to 776 of the family's 1533-position model. The record is from RNAcentral.